Molecule: ribosomal RNA, 253 nt
Filed under: uncultured bacterium
Lineage: Bacteria
Description: partial 16S ribosomal RNA
Rfam family: Bacterial small subunit ribosomal RNA
Source: RNAcentral
UACAGAGGGUGCGAGCGUUAAUCGGAAUUACUGGGCGUAAAGCGUGCGUAGACGGUCAUGUAAGUCGGAUGUGAAAGCCCCGGGCUCAACCUGGGAAUUGCAUUCGAGACUGCAAGGCUUGGGUGCGGAAGAGGGAAGCGGAAUUUCCGGUGUAGCGGUGAAAUGCGUAGAUAUCGGAAGGAACACCAGUGGCGAAAGCGGCUUCCUGGUCCGACACCGACGUUCAGGCACGAAAGCGUGGGGAGCAAACAGG